This is a long non-coding RNA of Lineus longissimus, 278 nucleotides long. RefSeq lists it as uncharacterized. Lineage: Eukaryota; Metazoa; Nemertea; Pilidiophora; Heteronemertea; Lineidae. The record is from RefSeq and is a predicted model, not a curated record. The transcript has 2 exons.
CUGGUACGACUACUCCGAGAACAUGAGCUGUGACGACUUUUACCCGGCUUUCCUGCUCUACAACGCUGGAGAGCUUAAUGCCUUCGGAUGGGCCCUUAACCUCUACCACGAGUCGCCACGAUAUGAACACCCAACUCCCGAUAUCCUGGACAGCUUCUUCAACCCAGUGCCAGUUUGCCUGACCAAGCAGCCAAAAAUGUCUACUAUUCAUAUCUACAUGGACGAUGCACCGCUUCUAAACAUGUGUUAAACAAUUAAAAAAUAUGUUAUUUAUAUUG